UACGGGGGGGGCAAGCGUUGUUCGGAAUUACUGGGCGUAAAGGGCUCGUAGGCGGCCAACUAAGUCGGACGUGAAAUCCCCAGGCUCAACCUGGGAACUGCGUCCGAUACUGGAUGGCUUGGAUCCGGGAGAGGGAUGCAGAAUUCCAGGUGUAGCGGUGAAAUGCGUAGAUAUCUGGAGGAAUACCGGUGGCGAAGGCGGCAUCCUGGACCGGCAUUGACGCUGAGGAGCGAAAGCCAGGGGAGCAAACGGG
This 253-nucleotide ribosomal RNA is filed under the name uncultured bacterium. RNAcentral's name for it is "partial 16S ribosomal RNA". It matches the Rfam family "Bacterial small subunit ribosomal RNA", at positions 524 to 776 of the family's 1533-position model. The record is from RNAcentral.